UACUGACAAAGGCAAACUUAUUGAUAAGAUAAGGACGCAAAGCCACGGGCCUAAGGAGCAAUCUAUGGUAGCCGGGUUACCGAA
RNAcentral lists this non-coding RNA (84 nucleotides) under Pontibacillus marinus. RNAcentral's name for it is "c-di-GMP sequence". It matches the Rfam family "c-di-GMP-I riboswitch aptamer". Rfam says of the family: GEMM was predicted in a large-scale screen for bacterial structured RNA regulatory elements. Genes associated with GEMM are involved in a diverse array of functions, including chemotaxis regulation, signal transduction, secretion and chitin. RNAcentral also lists the same sequence under 1 other name. The record is from RNAcentral. Lineage: Bacteria; Bacillati; Bacillota; Bacilli; Caryophanales; Bacillaceae.